RNAcentral lists this ribosomal RNA (294 nucleotides) under Triticum aestivum (bread wheat). Its description in RNAcentral is "partial small subunit ribosomal RNA". The record is from RNAcentral. Lineage: Eukaryota; Viridiplantae; Streptophyta; Magnoliopsida; Poales; Poaceae.
AUGAUGCUUGAUCCAGAUGAUGCGACCAUGUACUCAAACAGGAGCCUUUGCUCGCUCCGCAUGGGUGACGGAGACAAGGCUUUGGUAGAUGCUAACGAAUGCAGAAAAAUGCGGCCUGAUUGGCCAACAGCCUGUUACCGGCAGGGCGCGGCUCUGAUGUUACUGAAGGAUUACAAGGGUGCUUGUGAAAGUUGCCUGGAUGGACUCAAGUUGGACCGAGCUAACACUGAGAUUGAGGAUGCAUUACGGAAAGCUUAUGAUGCCAUGCAAGAUGUCUCGAAGCACCAAGGCUGA